GGCGAACGCUGGCGGCGUGCUUAACACAUGCAAGUCGAACGGAAAGGCCCUGCUUUUGUGGGGUGCUCGAGUGGCGAACGGGUGAGUAACACGUGAGUAACCUGCCCUUGACUUUGGGAUAACUUCAGGAAACUGGGGCUAAUACCGGAUAGGAGCUCCUGCUGCAUGGUGGGGGUUGGAAAGUUUCGGCGGUUGGGGAUGGACUCGCGGCUUAUCAGCUUGUUGGUGGGGUAGUGGCUUACCAAGGCUUUGACGGGUAGCCGGCCUGAGAGGGUGACCGGCCACAUUGGGACUGAGAUACGGCCCAGACUCCUACGGGAGGCAGCAGUGGGGAAUAGUGCACAAUGGGCGGAAGCCUGAUGCAGCAACGCCGCGUGCGGGAUGACGGCCUUCGGGUUGUAAACCGCUUUCGCCUGUGACGAAGCGUGAGUGACGGUAAUGGGUAAAGAAGCACCGGCUAACUACGUG
Molecule: ribosomal RNA, 468 nt
Filed under: uncultured bacterium
Lineage: Bacteria
Description: partial 16S ribosomal RNA
Rfam family: Bacterial small subunit ribosomal RNA
Source: RNAcentral